UACGUAGGGUGCAAGCGUUGUCCGGAAUUAUUGGGCGUAAAGAGCUCGUAGGCGGUCUGUCACGUCGGCUGUGAAAUCCCGAGGCUCAACCUCGGGUCUGCAGUCGAUACGGGCAAACUAGAGUAUUGCAGGGGAGACUGGAAUUCCUGGUGUAGCGGUGAAAUGCGCAGAUAUCAGGAGGAACACCGGUGGCGAAGGCGGGUCGCUGGGACGAUAUUGACGCUGAGGAGCGAAAGCGUGGGGAGCAAACAGG
This 253-nucleotide ribosomal RNA is filed under the name uncultured bacterium. RNAcentral describes it as "partial 16S ribosomal RNA". It matches the Rfam family "Bacterial small subunit ribosomal RNA", at positions 524 to 776 of the family's 1533-position model. The record is from RNAcentral.